CCUACGGGUGGCAGCAGUGAGGAAUAUUGGUCAAUGGGCGUAAUCCUGAACCAGCCAAGUCGCGUGAGGGAUGAAGGUUCUAUGAGUCGUAAACCUCUUUUAUAAGGGAGUAAAGUGUGGGACGCGUCCUAGUCUGUAUGUACCUUAUGAAUAAGGACCGGCUAACUCCGUGCCAGCAGCCGCGGUAAUACGGAGGAUCCGAGCGUUAUACGGAUUCAUUGGGUUUAAAGGGCGCGUAGGUGGAUUGUUAAGUCAGUUGUGAAAGUUUGCGGCUCAACCAUAAAAUUGCAUUUGAAACUGGCAGUCUUGAGUAUAGUAGAGGUAGGCGGAAUUCGUGGUGUAGCGGUGAAAUGCGUAGAUAUCACGAAGAACUCUGAUUGCGAAGGCGGUUCACUAGAAUACAACUGACACUGAGGCUCGAAAGUGUGGGUAUCAAACAGGAUUAGAUACCCUAGUAGUC
RNAcentral lists this ribosomal RNA (460 nucleotides) under uncultured bacterium. RNAcentral's name for it is "partial 16S ribosomal RNA". It matches the Rfam family "Bacterial small subunit ribosomal RNA", at positions 338 to 795 of the family's 1533-position model. The record is from RNAcentral.